CAACCCUUAUGUGACCAUACCUAUCGUUGCUUCGGCGGAGACGCCCCGGCUCUCCGAGCCCGGACCCAGGCGCCCGCCGGAGACCACAAACUCUUGUAUUUGUUUCAGUAUUUUCUCUGAGUGGCAAACGCAAAAAAUAAAUCAAAACUUUUAACAACGGAUCUCUUGGCUCUGGCAUCGAUGAAGAACGCAGCGAAAUGCGAUAAGUAAUGUGAAUUGCAGAAUUCAGUGAAUCAUCGAAUCUUUGAACGCACAUUGCGCCCGUUAGCAUUCUAGCGGGCAUGCCUGUCCGAGCGUCAUUUCAACCCUCAGGGUCCCCGUUUCGGCGGGGAACCUGGUGUUGGGGAUCGGCCCGCCCCGCGCGGCGCCGUCCCCCAAAUCUAGUGGCGGUCUCGCUGCAGCCUCCCCUGCGUAGUAGUUUACAACCUCGCACCGGAGCGCGGCGCGGCCACGCCGUAAAACCCCCGACUUUCUGAACGUUGACCUCGGAUCAGGUAGGAAUACCCGCUGAACUUAAGCAUAUCAAUAAGCGGAGGA
This 537-nucleotide ribosomal RNA is filed under the name Stachybotrys microspora. RNAcentral's name for it is "eukaryotic LSU rRNA". The stretch from base 146 to 299 matches the Rfam family "5.8S ribosomal RNA". Lineage: Eukaryota; Fungi; Ascomycota; Sordariomycetes; Hypocreales; Stachybotryaceae. The record is from RNAcentral.